Molecule: unclassified non-coding RNA, 508 nt
Filed under: Hevea brasiliensis (rubber tree)
Lineage: Eukaryota; Viridiplantae; Streptophyta; Magnoliopsida; Malpighiales; Euphorbiaceae
Source: RNAcentral
UCCCAGGUAGGCUCAACCAAUAUUCAAAUCCAAAUAACAAUCCCAUAUAUUCAAUUAUAAGACACUAGCAUAAAAUUUAUCUUACACAACAAAAAUGAAUAGCAGAAAUUUCAAAUCUUCAGCUCAGACAACAGAAGAAACCAACCAAAAAAAUCUGACCUGAGGUAGCCAAUCAACAAUGCAGAAGGUCACUACUCUCCAGUUAACAUUGCCUUUAUAAUGUUAUCAGACAUCCCAUCAAUGAAAGGAAACAAGUGUGUAGCUGAUGAUAAUAAAUCCAGGGAAGUCGUUGAGUGAUGUAGCGCUGCAACAUAACAGGAACCAAACGAUCUUCAUCUCCUUGCCAUAGAUGAACUGAACCUUCAUUGAUUGGAUUGGGAAUGGAUUAUUCAGAUCCACAGGAUCUAAUUCCCAGGUGCCACAUGUCAUGAUGGAAGGAUUCAUAUUCUCCUUGCUGUGUCGCAUAUUCCACCCAUGGAAAAGCCAAUUACAUAGAAUUUGGAUCCGA